This 2809-nucleotide ribosomal RNA is filed under the name Shigella flexneri. RNAcentral's name for it is "partial 23S ribosomal RNA". It matches the Rfam family "Bacterial large subunit ribosomal RNA". Lineage: Bacteria; Pseudomonadati; Pseudomonadota; Gammaproteobacteria; Enterobacterales; Enterobacteriaceae. The record is from RNAcentral.
GGGUUGUGAGGUUAAGCGACUAAGCGUACACGGUGGAUGCCCUGGCAGUCAGAGGCGAUGAAGGACGUGCUAAUCUGCGAUAAGCGUCGGUAAGGUGAUAUGAACCGUUAUAACCGGCGAUUUCCGAAUGGGGAAACCCAGUGUGAUUCGUCACACUAUCAUUAACUGAAUCCAUAGGUUAAUGAGGCGAACCGGGGGAACUGAAACAUCUAAGUACCCCGAGGAAAAGAAAUCAACCGAGAUUCCCCCAGUAGCGGCGAGCGAACGGGGAGCAGCCCAGAGCCUGAAUCAGUGUGUGUGUUAGUGGAAGCGUCUGGAAAGGCGUGCGAUACAGGGUGACAGCCCCGUACACAAAAAUGCACAUACUGUGAGCUCGAUGAGUAGGGCGGGACACGUGGUAUCCUGUCUGAAUAUGGGGGGACCAUCCUCCAAGGCUAAAUACUCCUGACUGACCGAUAGUGAACCAGUACCGUGAGGGAAAGGCGAAAAGAACCCCGGCGAGGGGAGUGAAAAAGAACCUGAAACCGUGUACGUACAAGCAGUGGGAGCACGCUUAGGCGUGUGACUGCGUACCUUUUGUAUAAUGGGUCAGCGACUUAUAUUCUGUAGCAAGGUUAACCGAAUAGGGGAGCCGAAGGGAAACCGAGUCUUAACUGGGCGUUAAGUUGCAGGGUAUAGACCCGAAACCCGGUGAUCUAGCCAUGGGCAGGUUGAAGGUUGGGUAACACUAACUGGAGGACCGAACCGACUAAUGUUGAAAAAUUAGCGGAUGACUUGUGGCUGGGGGUGAAAGGCCAAUCAAACCGGGAGAUAGCUGGUUCUCCCCGAAAGCUAUUUAGGUAGCGCCUCGUGAAUUCAUCUCCGGGGGUAGAGCACUGUUUCGGCAAGGGGGUCAUCCCGACUUACCAACCCGAUGCAAACUGCGAAUACCGGAGAAUGUUAUCACGGGAGACACACGGCGGGUGCUAACGUCCGUCGUGAAGAGGGAAACAACCCAGACCGCCAGCUAAGGUCCCAAAGUCAUGGUUAAGUGGGAAACGAUGUGGGAAGGCCCAGACAGCCAGGAUGUUGGCUUAGAAGCAGCCAUCAUUUAAAGAAAGCGUAAUAGCUCACUGGUCGAGUCGGCCUGCGCGGAAGAUGUAACGGGGCUAAACCAUGCACCGAAGCUGCGGCAGCGACGCUUAUGCGUUGUUGGGUAGGGGAGCGUUCUGUAAGCCUGUGAAGGUGUACUGUGAGGUAUGCUGGAGGUAUCAGAAGUGCGAAUGCUGACAUAAGUAACGAUAAAGCGGGUGAAAAGCCCGCUCGCCGGAAGACCAAGGGUUCCUGUCCAACGUUAAUCGGGGCAGGGUGAGUCGACCCCUAAGGCGAGGCCGAAAGGCGUAGUCGAUGGGAAACAGGUUAAUAUUCCUGUACUUGGUGUUACUGCGAAGGGGGGACGGAGAAGGCUAUGUUGGCCGGGCGACGGUUGUCCCGGUUUAAGCGUGUAGGCUGGUUUUCCAGGCAAAUCCGGAAAAUCAAGGCCGAGGCGUGAUGACGAGGCACUACGGUGCUGAAGCAACAAAUGCCCUGCUUCCAGGAAAAGCCUCUAAGCAUCAGGUAACAUCAAAUCGUACCCCAAACCGACACAGGUGGUCAGGUAGAGAAUACCAAGGCGCUUGAGAGAACUCGGGUGAAGGAACUAGGCAAAAUGGUGCCGUAACUUCGGGAGAAGGCACGCUGAUACGUAGGUGAAGCGACUUGCUCGUGGAGCUGAAAUCAGUCGAAGAUACCAGCUGGCUGCAACUGUUUAUUAAAAACACAGCACUGUGCAAACACGAAAGUGGACGUAUACGGUGUGACGCCUGCCCGGUGCCGGAAGGUUAAUUGAUGGGGUUAGCGCAAGCGAAGCUCUUGAUCGAAGCCCCGGUAAACGGCGGCCGUAACUAUAACGGUCCUAAGGUAGCGAAAUUCCUUGUCGGGUAAGUUCCGACCUGCACGAAUGGCGUAAUGAUGGCCAGGCUGUCUCCACCCGAGACUCAGUGAAAUUGAACUCGCUGUGAAGAUGCAGUGUACCCGCGGCAAGACGGAAAGACCCCGUGAACCUUUACUAUAGCUUGACACUGAACAUUGAGCCUUGAUGUGUAGGAUAGGUGGGAGGCUUUGAAGUGUGGACGCCAGUCUGCAUGGAGCCGACCUUGAAAUACCACCCUUUAAUGUUUGAUGUUCUAACGUGGACCCGUAAUCCGGGUUGCGGACAGUGUCUGGUGGGUAGUUUGACUGGGGCGGUCUCCUCCUAAAGAGUAACGGAGGAGCACGAAGGUUGGCUAAUCCUGGUCGGACAUCAGGAGGUUAGUGCAAUGGCAUAAGCCAGCUUGACUGCGAGCGUGACGGCGCGAGCAGGUGCGAAAGCAGGUCAUAGUGAUCCGGUGGUUCUGAAUGGAAGGGCCAUCGCUCAACGGAUAAAAGGUACUCCGGGGAUAACAGGCUGAUACCGCCCAAGAGUUCAUAUCGACGGCGGUGUUUGGCACCUCGAUGUCGGCUCAUCACAUCCUGGGGCUGAAGUAGGUCCCAAGGGUAUGGCUGUUCGCCAUUUAAAGUGGUACGCGAGCUGGGUUUAGAACGUCGUGAGACAGUUCGGUCCCUAUCUGCCGUGGGCGCUGGAGAACUGAGGGGGGCUGCUCCUAGUACGAGAGGACCGGAGUGGACGCAUCACUGGUGUUCGGGUUGUCAUGCCAAUGGCACUGCCCGGUAGCUAAAUGCGGAAGAGAUAAGUGCUGAAAGCAUCUAAGCACGAAACUUGCCCCGAGAUGAGUUCUCCCUGACCCUUUAA